UACGAAGGGGGCUAGCGUUGUUCGGAAUUACUGGGCGUAAAGCGCACGUAGGCGGACAUUUAAGUCAGGGGGGAAAUCCCGGAGCUCAACUCCGGAACUGCCUUUGAUACUGGGUGUCUUGAGUGUGGAAGAGGUGAGUGGAAUUCCGAGUGUAGAGGUGAAAUUCGUAGAUAUUCGGAGGAACACCAGUGGCGAAGGCGGCUCACUGGUCCAUUACUGACGCUGAGGUGCGAAAGCGUGGGGAGCAAACAGG
This 253-nucleotide ribosomal RNA is filed under the name uncultured bacterium. RNAcentral describes it as "partial 16S ribosomal RNA". It matches the Rfam family "Bacterial small subunit ribosomal RNA", at positions 524 to 776 of the family's 1533-position model. The record is from RNAcentral.